RNAcentral lists this transfer RNA (72 nucleotides) under Mystus gulio (long whiskers catfish). RNAcentral's name for it is "tRNA-Ile". It matches the Rfam family "tRNA". From Rfam's summary of the family: Transfer RNA (tRNA) molecules are approximately 80 nucleotides in length. Lineage: Eukaryota; Metazoa; Chordata; Actinopteri; Siluriformes; Bagridae. The record is from RNAcentral.
GGAGCCAUGCCUGAACGCCCAAGGGCCACUUUGAUAGAGUGACUCACGAGGGUUAAAAUCCCUCUGGCUCCU